Molecule: ribosomal RNA, 253 nt
Filed under: uncultured bacterium
Lineage: Bacteria
Description: partial 16S ribosomal RNA
Rfam family: Bacterial small subunit ribosomal RNA
Source: RNAcentral
UACGUAGGGGGCAAGCGUUGUCCGGAUUUAUUGGGCGUAAAGAGCGUGUAGGCGGUUUGGUAGGUCCGUUGUGAAAACUCGAGGCUCAACCUCGAGACGCCGGCGGAAACCAUCAGGCUAGAGUCCGGAAGAGGUGAGUGGAAUUCCUGGUGUAGCGGUGAAAUGCGCAGAUAUCAGGAAGAACACCCGUGGCUAAGGCGGCUCUCUAGUACGGUACUGACGCUGAGACGCGAAAGCGUGGGGAGCGAACAGG